RNAcentral lists this ribosomal RNA (379 nucleotides) under uncultured bacterium. RNAcentral's name for it is "bacterial SSU rRNA". It matches the Rfam family "Bacterial small subunit ribosomal RNA", at positions 28 to 407 of the family's 1533-position model. The record is from RNAcentral.
GACGAACGCUGGCGGCGUGCUUAACACAUGCAAGUCGAGCGGUAAGGCCCUUUCGGGGGUACACGAGCGGCGAACGGGUGAGUAACACGUGGGUGACCUGCCCUUAGCUCUGGGAUAAGCCUGGGAAACUGGGUCUAAUACCGGAUAUGACCUCAUGACUCAUGUUGUGGGGUGGAAAGCCUUGUGCGGCUAGGGAUGGGGCCCGCGGCCUAUCAGCUUGUUGGUGGGGUAAUUGCCACCAAGGCGACGACGGGUAGCCGGCCUGAGAGGGCGACCGGCCACACUGGGACUGAGACACGGCCCAGACUCCUACGGGAGGCAGCAGGUGGGGAAUCUUGCGCAAUGGGCGAAAGCCUGACGCAGCGACGCCGCGUGAGGG